CGCGUAGGUGGGAUAUUAAGUCUAUUCUAAAGUGCGGGGCUCAACCCCGUAAUGGGAUGGAAACUAAUAUUCUUGAGUACCGGAGAGGAAAGCGGAAUUCCCAGUGUAGCGGUGAAAUGCGUAGAUAUUGGGAGGAACACCAGUGGCGAAGGCGGCUUUCUGGACGGUGUCUGACACUGAGGCGCGAAAGCUAGGGGAGCGAACGGGAUUAGAUACCCCGGUAGUCCUAGCCGUAAACGAUGGGUACUAGGUGUAGGAGGUAUCGACCCCUUCUGUGCCGGAGUUAACGCAAUAAGUACCCGCCUGGGGAGUACGGCCGCAAGGUUGAA
RNAcentral lists this ribosomal RNA (329 nucleotides) under uncultured bacterium. RNAcentral describes it as "bacterial SSU rRNA". It matches the Rfam family "Bacterial small subunit ribosomal RNA", at positions 568 to 898 of the family's 1533-position model. The record is from RNAcentral.